CCCCCUAACAACACUUCUUCCGUUCUUGGAAACACACCCUCUUCUUUGAAACAAUGCCUUAAAAGCGACAACCCUAACACAGAGCUCAUCACCCUAACGGCGGCGGCGCUCUUCACCUAACAUAGAGCUCAUCGCCGGUGCUCUCACUCUCCCCCCCAAUAACAUUCGUUGGUCAACCUCGUUCCAACCCUCUCUAGCAACCCCUACGUAGGUGCCAUCUCUGCCGGUGUUCCCUGCGUCGGUGCUCCUUCCGUCUCUCCUGUAAACACCUAUCCCUCCUUCGGCGGUGACUCACUCUGGUAAGGCCUCCCUCGGCGCUCACUCUCUAUCGCAAACCAUCCGUCGACGCUCACUCUCUCUCGCAAACCCUCAAUCGUCACUCCUCCCUCCAUGGUUCAGUACCCGCCGCGUUGUCGUCACCCUCUCUGAAGUCGUCGCGCCGCCUCUCCAUCUCCUUCACUCGUCGCACCUCCGUCAGCCACGUUUAGUGUUCGCAGCACAUUGGGGACCCCAACUGGAGAAAAAGUCUAAGGCUGCUGGUCUUAGGGCAACUGCAAACCAUUUGCGUGAUUUGAAUCUUGAGGAUGCGCACGAAAUUCUUAGGCAAGCUGCUGAAAUUUUUGAAGGAAUAGGAAUAAUUAAUAUUGCAGCUCAAUGUUUUUCAGAUUUGGGGGAUCAUGAAAAAGCUGGUAUAAAUUUGAAGUUUAGCUUCUAUAUCUAUGCUUGUCAUCUGUUAUUAGUUACUUCUCCACAUUUUUUCCUCUUCUCUUAUCGAAGUCCGACGAAGAAAUCAAUGUAAAUAGAAAACUAGCAAAGGAACUGGUUGACAAAUGGAGCCGACCCAUAUUUAAUAGGAGUACACGGUUUGAGGACAUGAGAAAUUCUGAGGACGACAGGAUUCCUUUCAGGAGGCCAACUAUUAAAAAGUGCUCAACCAUUCUGAUUUAAAUUGCUUGUCUUAAGCAAUAUUUGUCUUAUGUAUUGCAAUAUGCUGAAUUUCUACAGGCUGGCAAAUAAAGCAGCAGGGAUAGAAUCUAGAGAUGGUGAUCUUGAUUUGGAAUUUUCACAGCCUAGGUCUGGACAGUCUUCUUCAAGGCAACAUGCAUCAAGGCCAGAAGCAACACCUUUGGAUUUUGUGAUCCAUCCCCAGUCUAAAAUUGAUCCAGAAGAAGUUAGAGUGCGAGCAAAAGCUGCUGCACAAGAUCAGCAGAGAAUGAAGCCUUUCCCAGUUGAGCAAGCGAAAAUUCUAUCACUCUCGCAUAUACCAGCCAAUGGAACUUGAAGAAGUUCUAUCAGAAGGAGAUAGUGAGGAUGAAGUUGAUGAUGAAGUUGCUGAUUUUGAAGAGCUAAGGAGGCUUGGUAAUUUUGACAAUGUGACCAAUGCUGAGAAGAAAUUCAUGCAUAUGUGGAACUCGUUUAUUCGAAAGCAACAGGCUGUUUUAGCUUGGCUUUCUAUUAUUGCGCACCACAACAAAGACAAGAAGGCAGGGGAGAAACUGAUCUCCGUGGUUGAUAUUGUGAAGGAACACUGGGCAACUUAUGGAAGAAAUUUUUUUCUAGAUAUGAUUAUGAGGAAUGUGAAUCUGAAGGUGCCAAUAAAAUGGUAGCAUACCUACGAGAGACUGCAUCAAAGAGCAAGACUGGUGAUAAGUUCUAAUGAUAAUUUUGAUAGUUCUAAUGAUCUCCUAAGUUCUAAUGAUGAACUUAUUUUGUCCUAAUUCAAUUAUUAGUUUUGUUAAAGUAUUGUAAUUUUUUAAUUACAAUUUUAGCAUGUAAAUAAUUCAUGUAAAUCAAUAAAAAAUCAAUUUUUUAUA
Molecule: RNA transcript, 1814 nt
Organism: Arachis stenosperma
Lineage: Eukaryota; Viridiplantae; Streptophyta; Magnoliopsida; Fabales; Fabaceae
Gene name: protein IWS1 homolog 1-like
Exons: 9
Source: RefSeq, a predicted model, not a curated record